This 496-nucleotide ribosomal RNA is filed under the name uncultured bacterium. RNAcentral's name for it is "bacterial SSU rRNA". It matches the Rfam family "Bacterial small subunit ribosomal RNA", at positions 30 to 521 of the family's 1533-position model. The record is from RNAcentral.
AUUGAACGCUGGCGGAAUGCUUUACACAUGCAAGUCGAGCGGCAGCGCGGGGCAACCUGGCGGCGAGCGGCGAACGGGUGAGUAAUACAUCGGAACGUGCCCAGACGUGGGGGAUAACUACUCGAAAGAGUGGCUAAUACCGCAUACGAUCUAAGGAUGAAAGCGGGGGAUCGCAAGACCUCGCGCGUUUGGAGCGGCCGAUGGCAGAUUAGGUAGUUGGUGGGGUAAAGGCUUACCAAGCCCGCGAUCUGUAGCUGGUCUGAGAGGAUGAUCAGCCACACUGGGACUGAGACACGGCCCAGACUCCUACGGGAGGCAGCAGUGGGGAAUUUUGGACAAUGGGCGAAAGCCUGAUCCAGCCAUUCCGCGUGCAGGAUGAAGGCCCUCGGGUUGUAAACUGCUUUUGUACAGAACGAAAAGACUCUUUCUAAUACAGAGAGUCCAUGACGGUACUGUAAGAAUAAGCACCGGCUAACUACGUGCCAGCAGCCGCGGU